Molecule: unclassified non-coding RNA, 390 nt
Filed under: soil metagenome
Description: partial contains 5.8S ribosomal RNA, internal transcribed spacer 2, and large subunit ribosomal RNA
Rfam family: 5.8S ribosomal RNA (bases 1-122)
Source: RNAcentral
GAUGAAGAGCGUAGCGAAAUGCGAUACUUGGUGUGAAUUGCAGAAUCCCGUGAACCAUCGAGUCUUUGAACGCAAGUUGCGCCCGAAGCCAUUAGGCCGAGGGCACGCCUGCCUGGGCGUCACACGUCGUUGCCCCCCCAUCUACUCCUUCGGGAUUGCGGGGGGCGGAUGAUGGCCUCCCGUGCGCCUCGUCGCGCGGUUGGCAUAAAUGCCAAGUCCUCGGCGACGCACGCCACGACAAUCGGUGGUUGCGAAACCUCGGUUGCCCGUCGUGUGCGGUCGUCGCGCAUCGAGGGCUCGAAAAAAUUGCCGGGCUCCGGCUCGGCUUUCAACGCGACCCCAGGUCAGGCGGGGUUACCCGCUGAAUUUAAGCAUAUCAAUAGCGGAGGA